Molecule: unclassified non-coding RNA, 368 nt
Filed under: air metagenome
Description: partial contains small subunit ribosomal RNA, internal transcribed spacer 1, and 5.8S ribosomal RNA
Rfam family: Eukaryotic small subunit ribosomal RNA (bases 1-46)
Source: RNAcentral
AAGUCGUAACAAGGUUUCCGUAGGUGAACCUGCGGAAGGAUCAUUAUUGAAUUAUGUUUCUAGAUGGGUUGUAGCUGGCUCUUUGGAGCAUGUGCACGCCUGUUUGGAUUUCAUUUUCAUCCACCUGUGCACUCAUUGUAGUCUUUGGUUUGGGUAUUGAGGAAGUGGUCGGCCUAUCAGCUUUUGCUGGAUGUGAGGAGUUUGCAGUGCGAAAGCAUUGCUGUCCUUUACUUGGCCAUGGAGACUUUUGCCUGCCAGAGUCUAUGUUAUUCAUUAUACUCUAUCGAAUGUUAUCGAAUGUCUUUACAUGGGCUUUCAUGCCUAUGAAAAUUAUAAUACAACUUUCAGCAACGGAUCUCUUGGCUCUC